CUAGAGUUCUGAUUUCUAUAAUCACAAAUAGCAAAAAAGAAGACUCUGAAAAUGCUAUUUCCAACAAUCUAGAUACUCAAAAUUUCCCUGCUUUGGGGUGGACAUCUACAAAAAGGGACCAUACUAUAUUGAGUGCGGAGAGAUGACAGAUGGUUGUUGGUGACAAAAAGUUUGGUGUGGUAUUGUAUGUACUAGUAGGGGGGUCCGGGGAUUCUCCCCCAGAAAAUGUUUUGUAUUUUUCCACCCCUAGAACUAAAAUGUAAGCAUUUUCUGAAACAGAUUUUUGGAUAUACAACGUUACAUUGUGUGUUGAUAGACCGAAUCUGAUCAGUUAAGUGUAUUUGCAUGGUAUGUUUAUGUAAAUACCACAACUGGGUCACUCAGGGGGUAGCAAGCUUGUUAAACUUAGUGUGCCCGACUCCCAUGAUUGCGAGGCACUACCAUGGUUGGUGCCCAGACAAGUUCUUAAAAAAACGCUGUGUUCAAAUCAUUUU
Paramuricea clavata is the source of this 494-nucleotide non-coding RNA. Lineage: Eukaryota; Metazoa; Cnidaria; Anthozoa; Malacalcyonacea; Plexauridae. The record is from the annotation of a GenBank genome assembly.